RNAcentral lists this ribosomal RNA (515 nucleotides) under uncultured marine bacterium. RNAcentral's name for it is "bacterial SSU rRNA". It matches the Rfam family "Bacterial small subunit ribosomal RNA", at positions 384 to 916 of the family's 1533-position model. The record is from RNAcentral.
UGAUCUAGCCAUGCCGCGUGAGUGAUGAAGGCCUUAGGGUCGUAAAGCUCUUUCGCCAGGGAUGAUAAUGACAGUACCUGGUAAAGAAACCCCGGCUAACUCCGUGCCAGCAGCCGCGGUAAUACGGAGGGGGUUAGCGUUGUUCGGAAUUACUGGGCGUAAAGCGCGCGUAAGCGGAUUAGUCAGUUAGAGGUGAAAUCCCAGGGCUCAACCCUGGAACUGCCUUUAAUACUGCUAGUCUUGAGUUCGAGAGAGGUGAGUGGAAUUCCGAGUGUAGAGGUGAAAUUCAUAUAUAUUCGGAGGAACACCAUUGGCGAAGGCGGCUCACUGGCUCGAUACUGACGCUGAGGUGCUAAAGUGUGGGGAGCAAACAGGAUUAAAUACCCUGGUAGUCCACACCGUAAACGAUGAAUGCCAGUCGUCGGGUAGUAUACUAUUCGGUGACACACCUAACGGAUUAAGCAUUCCGCCUGGGGAGUACGGUCGCAAGAUUAAAACUCAAAGGAAAUUGACGG